GAUGAAGAACGUAGCGAAAUGCGAUAAGUAGUGUGAAUUGCAGAAUUCAGUGAAUCAUCGAAUCUUUGAACGCACAUUGCGCCCCCUGGUAUUACGGGGGGCAUGCCUGUUCGAGCGUCAUUUCACCACUCAAGCCUCGCUUGGUAUUGGGCAACGCGGUCCGCCGCGUGCCUCAAAUCGACCGGCUGGGUCUUCUGUCCCCUAAGCGUUGUGGAAACUAUUCGCUAAAGGGUGUUCGGGAGGCUACGCCGUAAAACAACCCCAUUUCUAAGGUUGACCUCGGAUCAGGUAGGGAUACCCGCGGAACUUAAGCAUAUCAAUAAGCGGAGGA
Molecule: unclassified non-coding RNA, 331 nt
Filed under: soil metagenome
Description: partial contains 5.8S ribosomal RNA, internal transcribed spacer 2, and large subunit ribosomal RNA
Rfam family: 5.8S ribosomal RNA (bases 1-120)
Source: RNAcentral